Molecule: ribosomal RNA, 993 nt
Filed under: uncultured bacterium
Lineage: Bacteria
Description: bacterial SSU rRNA
Rfam family: Bacterial small subunit ribosomal RNA
Source: RNAcentral
GGGGAAUAUUGCACAAUGGGGGAAACCCUGAUGCAGCGACGCCGCGUGGAGGAAGAAGGUCUUCGGAUUGUAAACUCCUGUUGUUGAGGAAGAUAAUGACGGUACUCAACAAGGAAGUGACGGCUAACUACGUGCCAGCAGCCGCGGUAAAACGUAGGUCACAAGCGUUGUCCGGAAUUACUGGGUGUAAAGGGAGCGCAGGCGGGAAGACAAGUUGGAAGUGAAAUCCAUGGGCUCAACCCAUGAACUGCUUUCAAAACUGUUUUUCUUGAGUAGUGCAGAGGUAGGCGGAAUUCCCGGUGUAGCGGUGGAAUGCGUAGAUAUCGGGAGGAACACCAGUGGCGAAGGCGGCCUACUGGGCACCAACUGACGCUGAGGCUCGAAAGUGUGGGUAGCAAACAGGAUUAGAUACCCUGGUAGUCCACACCGUAAACGAUGAUUACUAGGUGUUGGAGGAUUGACCCCUUCAGUGCCGCAGUUAACACAAUAAGUAAUCCACCUGGGGAGUACGACCGCAAGGUUGAAACUCAAAGGAAUUGACGGGGGCCCGCACAAGCAGUGGAGUAUGUGGUUUAAUUCGACGCAACGCGAAGAACCUUACCAAGUCUUGACAUCCUGCGACGCACAUAGAAAUAUGUGUUUCCUUCGGGACGCAGAGACAGGUGGUGCAUGGUUGUCGUCAGCUCGUGUCGUGAGAUGUUGGGUUAAGUCCCGCAACGAGCGCAACCCUUAUGGUCAGUUACUACGCAAGAGGACUCUGGCCAGACUGCCGUUGACAAAACGGAGGAAGGUGGGGAUGACGUCAAAUCAUCAUGCCCUUUAUGACUUGGGCUACACACGUACUACAAUGGCGUUAACAGAGGGAAGCAAAGCGGUGACGCAGAGCAAAACCCUAAAAACGGUCCCAGUUCGGACUGUAGGCUGCAACCCGCCUACACGAAGUUGGAAUUGCUAGUAAUCGCGGAUCAGCAUGCCGCGGUGAAUACGUUCCCG